Molecule: ribosomal RNA, 456 nt
Filed under: Eurypon cf. cinctum CM-2010
Lineage: Eukaryota; Metazoa; Porifera; Demospongiae; Axinellida; Raspailiidae
Description: partial 28S ribosomal RNA
Source: RNAcentral
GAGAGUCAAAGAGACCGCGAAACCGUUGGGAGGGAAACGAAUGUGGCCAUGAGGACUCCCUUCAGGUUCAGGGAGCCUCGGUUUGGGCGUUUGCGCGGUGGGGGACCCCCGGUGGGGCCCCGCCGGCGCAAGUCCUUCCAGGCUUCUGCAAUCCCCUCUGGAGUCCCCCAACGGCGGCCGUUGGCGGUGGAGGAGGGUCGUGGGGUAGGGGCCUCUUCGCCGAGCCCUCGCGGGUUUGGGGAGGAGAGCUUACANCCCUCGGCUCGGUGGACCGCGAACGCCCGAAGAGCGUUGCGACCAUUCGCACGGCGUAGCGCACCCCCCCCCCAAGGGAGGCCGGGUCGCUUCUGCACUUGCGUGCCUCGCGGCGAGCCACUGCUCGCAGUGACAGCUGACGGUAGGUGCGCUUGAGCGGGACGCGGGCCACGAUUUGCUCUUCCGUCGUUGGGGUGCGUA